GACGAACGCUGGCGGCGUGCCUAAUACAUGCAAGUAGAACGCACAGUUUAUACCGUAGCUUGCUACACCAUAGACUGUGAGCUGCGAACGGGUGAGUAACGCGUAGGUAACCUGCCUGGUAGCGGGGGAUAACUAUUGGAAACGAUAGCUAAUACCGCAUAAUAUUAAUUAUUGCAUGAUAAUUAAUUGAAAGGUGCAAUUGCACCACUACCAGAUGGACCUGCGUUGUAUUAGCUAGUAGGUGAGGUAACGGCUCACCUAGGCGACGAUACAUAGCCGACCUGAGAGGGUGAUCGGCCACACUGGGACUGAGACACGGCCCAGACUCCUACGGGAGGCAGCAGUAGGGAAUCUUCGGCAAUGGACGAAAGUCUGACCGAGCAACGCCGCGUGAGUGAAGAAGGUUUUCGGAUCGUAAAGCUCUGUUGUAAGAGAAGAACGGGUGUGAGAGUGGAAAGUUCACACUGUGACGGUAUCUUACCAGAAAGGGACGGCUAACUACGUG
Molecule: ribosomal RNA, 505 nt
Filed under: uncultured bacterium
Lineage: Bacteria
Description: partial 16S ribosomal RNA
Rfam family: Bacterial small subunit ribosomal RNA
Source: RNAcentral